Molecule: ribosomal RNA, 466 nt
Filed under: uncultured bacterium
Lineage: Bacteria
Description: partial 16S ribosomal RNA
Rfam family: Bacterial small subunit ribosomal RNA
Source: RNAcentral
GAUGAACGCUGGCGGCGUGCUUAACACAUGCAAGUCGAACGAUGAAGCCCAGCUUGCUGGGUGGAUUAGUGGCGAACGGGUGAGUAACACGUGAGUAACCUGCCCUUAACUCUGGGAUAAGCCUGGGAAACUGGGUCUAAUACCGGAUAGGAGCGUCCACCCCACGGUGGGUGUUGGAGAGAUUUAUCGGUUUUGGAUGGACUCGCGGCCUAUCAGCUUGUUGGUGGGGUAAUGGCUCACCAAGGCGACGACGGGUAGCCGGCCUGAGAGGGUGACCGGCCACACUGGGACUGAGAUACGGCCCAGACUCCUACGGGAGGCAGCAGUGGGGAAUAUUGCACAAUGGGCGCAAGCCUGAUGCAGCGACGCCGCGUGAGGGAUGACGGCCUUCGGGUUGUAAACCUCUUUCAGUAGGGAAGAAGCGAAAGUGACGGUACCUGCAGAAGAAGCACCGGCUAACUACGUG